RNAcentral lists this small RNA (386 nucleotides) under Histoplasma capsulatum. RNAcentral's name for it is "hypothetical RNA". Lineage: Eukaryota; Fungi; Ascomycota; Eurotiomycetes; Onygenales; Ajellomycetaceae. The record is from RNAcentral. RNAcentral also lists the same sequence under 1 other name.
ACUGCACCCACUUACACCAACUUGACAACAACCUCACACACUUCAAUGCUGUCCAAGGAAGACAUAACAAUUAUAGGCAGAACUACAUGCCUACUAACACACCAACUGCACCAGCUGCCCCUGCAGAUAUCAUGGAUUGAACCUCUUAUGUGAGCACAGAACAAUCAAAGAUACCUGGCCUCUCUGAAUAAGAAAUUACUGAUUGAAUCACCUGAGGCAUCUGCAUUCAUUGCAACAAGUCAGAGCACUUCACAAGCCAGUGCAUCAAUGCAGUAGCUUCUGCCUCUAUACCCACAAAUGAAUAAGAACAGGGAAAAGAAGAGCUCUCACUCUAAAAUGUGAAUGAGAGCUCAAGAAGCAAGAAGCUAGCUGAAGGUUCAAGUAGA